GAGGUUUUCCCUGUGGAUCAAGGAGGAGUGACAGGACGUUCAUUACCAGCACCACAGGGACAUUUCUCUGAGGAUCUUCAUGGCAGAGAAGCUCCUUACAGACAUGCACUGGGUCCAAACAAGUUUCAUUCCUGCCUUGGCGGCGACGCAUCGAGAAGGAUCUGACAACAAACAAGGGGAAGUGAGGAAUGGAAAGGCUCAGAGGUGUGAUUGGCUGAGUUCAGAUAAGCAGGGAGAAUGAUCUGCCACCUACGUGUUUCCACAGCAUACAGUACCUUCUGCAUCACAUCCUCGCUCCUGUGUGGUAUAGUUUCUUUUUUGUGAGAACACAUCUCUAGGAGGGGAUUCGCUUACUGUGAAAUGUAAAUGUAAACAACAGAUGCAGGAAAAAAAGCAUUUGUGAGCAUGAGACACAAUCUGUUGCAUUCACGACUAAAAGGUUUAAAUCG
This is a long non-coding RNA of Austrofundulus limnaeus, 449 nucleotides long. RefSeq lists it as uncharacterized. The transcript is spliced from 3 exons. The record is from RefSeq and is a predicted model, not a curated record. NCBI's taxonomy places the organism in Eukaryota, Metazoa, Chordata, Actinopteri, Cyprinodontiformes, Rivulidae.